AAAGCUGUGAGUCGGGAAGGUUAAAAACUGAACUCUUUUCUUUUUUUCCCCACGGUCCCCACCAGCGACGGGAGCCCGGCCCCCCCAGCCCCUUCCAGUUCUGCCGGGACGGGAACCCCCCCUGCACCCCCCGACCCCACCGCAUCCCCCCCGGGACGGGCGCAGGGACCGGGACACGCGCCGCGGGGUCCAGAGGGUCCCCGGGAAGCACCGGGGCGCUGCAGGGGGGGUGUGUGUGUGUCCAGCGGGACCCCCAGACCCCCCAUGCGGGACCCGCAGAGGGUGCUGCAGGACGGUGCAGCACCAGCACCCAGCGCCGCGGGGACAUGGAGGGCUCGCACCCGGCGCUGCGGGUCAUGCGGGAUCUGCAGCCAGCGCUGCAGGGCUGGGCGACACCCGCAUGCGACGCUGCAGGGCCAUGCAGGACCCGCAGCCAGCGCUGCAGGGCUGGGCGAGACUCGCGUGUGAUGCUGCAGGGCCAUGCAGGACCUGCAGGCAGCACUGCAGGGCUCUGUGAGGCUCACAGGCGAUGCUGCAGGGCCAUGCAGAAUUUGCAGCCAGCGCUGCAGGGCUGGGUGAGACUCGCGUGUGACGCUGCAGGGCCAUGCAGAACUUGCAGCCAGCGCUGCAGGGCUGGGCGAGACUCGCAUGCGAUCCUGCAGGGCCACGCAGGAUCUGCAGCCAGCGCUGCAGGGCCACGCACGAGUCACGACCUGGGCUGCAGGUCCACGCAGGACCCACGGACAGCACUAAAGGGCUGCAUAGUGCUUGCAGCCAGCGCUGCAGGGCCACACAGGAGCUGCAGCCAGCGCUGCAGGGCUCUGCAAGACUGGCACGAGACGCUGCAAGGCCAUGCAGGACCUGCAGGCAGCACUAAAGGGCCACACAAGAGUUGCAGCCGGUGCUGCAGAGCCAUCCAGGACCCGCACCCAGUGCUGCAGGGCUGCGCAGGACCCGCGUGUGAUGCUGCAAGGCCAUGCAGCACUUGCACCCGGCGCCGCGAGGCCAUACGGGGCCUGCAUGCGACGCUGCGGGGCCACGCAGGACCCGCAGACAGAGCUGCAGGGUCACCUAGCACCUGCGCCCAGCGCUGCAGGGCCAUGCAGCAUCUGCAGCCAGCGCCGCAGGGCUGCGCAGGACCCGCAUGCGACGCCGCAGGGCCGUGCAGGAGCUGCAGCGGGCGCUGCAGAGCGCUGCAGGACCCACGGCUGGUGCCGCCGAGACACGCGGGACCCACGGACGGCGCUGCGGGACCUGCACCCGCAUCAGCCGCUGCAUCAGCCCCACACCAGAACCCGAUCCAGAGCCUGGGGGGGGGGGGGGGGGGCACGUCCCGCCUCGCCUCCUUUACCACCCGCCGUGCCCACCCCCAGCUUGGGGCCGGCCCAGCUCCCCACACCAACAGAGGGGCUUCCGAACCCCCCCCGGUAGCACCAAGCACGGAGGGGAGGUUGGGGGGGCGCCCCCCCUCCCCGCCACCCCAGCACCUCACAGCACCCGGGGGGGGGGGCUGCCGUGGCGCUCGAUGCCAAUUAGCCAGCACCCCGCACCGAGCAGCCGGCGGCCCCCCCCCCAACCCCCCCCAGCACCUUUCACAGUUAAGAGAAGAGACGGCGAACGGGGCAGAGACCCUCCGUGAGCCCCCCCUGCCCCUGCCCCACGCCGUAGCACCAGCCCCUGCCUCGGCCGGAGCCCCUCCGGCUCCGGGCACGGGGGCACGGUGGCCGCAACGGGCACCGAGCCGGGCCCCCCCACCGACCCGCCGCGGCCCCCGCAGCUGCCAGACGAGUAGCACCAUCCACGGCAAUGCCAGCACCCUGCCUGCGCCGCCACCGCUCUCCCUGCCAGCCACCGGCCACCCGUCGCCCCCAAAACCGGGGGGUCCGGGGCCACCCCCAGCACGG
This 1904-nucleotide long non-coding RNA is filed under the name Calidris pygmaea (Spoon-billed sandpiper). RNAcentral's name for it is "lncRNA (ENSCPGG00000016159.1)". The record is from RNAcentral. Lineage: Eukaryota; Metazoa; Chordata; Aves; Charadriiformes; Scolopacidae.